Molecule: ribosomal RNA, 253 nt
Filed under: uncultured bacterium
Lineage: Bacteria
Description: partial 16S ribosomal RNA
Rfam family: Bacterial small subunit ribosomal RNA
Source: RNAcentral
UACGCAGGGGGCUAGCGUUGUUCGGAAUUACUGGGCGUAAAGCGCGUGUAGGCGGGCCGUUAAGUCGGGGGUGAAAGCCCAGAGCUCAACUCUGGAAUUGCCUUCGAUACUGGCGGCCUGGAGCAUGAUAGAGGCGAGUGGAAUUGCGAGUGUAGAGGUGAAAUUCGUAGAGAUUCGCAGGAACACCAGUGGCGAAGGCGACUCGCUGGAUCAUUGCUGACGAUGAGACGCGAAAGAGUGGGGAGCAAACAGG